Long non-coding RNA from Sebastes umbrosus (honeycomb rockfish), 435 nucleotides. RefSeq lists it as uncharacterized. NCBI's taxonomy places the organism in Eukaryota, Metazoa, Chordata, Actinopteri, Perciformes, Sebastidae. The transcript is spliced from 3 exons. The record is from RefSeq and is a predicted model, not a curated record.
GAUAGAAGUUCAUUAGUGUUUGUGAAUCUCACCUACACACGUGGUGCUGCAGUGGAGAUGCUCAGGACAGCAUGCCAGAGAAACCUGUGUUUUGCACACAGGCAGAGCCUCAGGAUGGGUCUCUGGGUUUCUUCAUCGCACAGCUCACUGCUGGACAGAGUAAGGAGCCAAUGGAGGGAUGCCAGUUUGGAGUUUCGAAAGACUGUUACUGUAACAGUUUGCUGACUUCCAAGGAGCAUGUCACGAUGAAUUGUUCUUGCCCAAAACAAAACAAGGAAUGCUAACGUUCACCUCAAGCAGCACUCUCCUGUGCUGAGAAAUGAAGCCAACGUGAAAUUUCCAAAAACUGCAGUUCAUCAAAUGGCCACUUGAGGCUGGCUCCAAAAGUGAAUCAAUCCCCAUAGAUCCCCAUGUUAAAAUGCCCAACUUUACAGU